This 283-nucleotide ribosomal RNA is filed under the name Faecalibacterium prausnitzii. RNAcentral's name for it is "partial 16S ribosomal RNA". It matches the Rfam family "Bacterial small subunit ribosomal RNA", at positions 60 to 338 of the family's 1533-position model. Lineage: Bacteria; Bacillati; Bacillota; Clostridia; Eubacteriales; Oscillospiraceae. The record is from RNAcentral.
AGUCGAACGAGCGAGAGAGAGCUUGCUUUCUCGAGCGAGUGGCGAACGGGUGAGUAACGCGUGAGGAACCUGCCUCAAAGAGGGGGACAACAGUUGGAAACGACUGCUAAUACCGCAUAAGCCCACGGGUCGGCAUCGACCAGAGGGAAAAGGAGUGAUCCGCUUUGAGAUGGCCUCGCGUCCGAUUAGCUAGUUGGUGAGGUAACGGCCCACCAAGGCGACGAUCGGUAGCCGGACUGAGAGGUUGAACGGCCACAUUGGGACUGAGACACGGCCCAGACUC